GCAUGGUUGUCGUCAGCUCGUGUCGUGAGAUGUUGGGUUAAGUCCCGCAACGAGCGCAACCCUUAAGCUUAGUUGCCAUCAUUAAGUUGGGCACUCUAGGUUGACUGCCGGUGACAAACCGGAGGAAGGUGGGGAUGACGUCAAAUCAUCAUGCCCCUUAUGAUUUGGGCUACACACGUGCUACAAUGGACAAUACAAAGGGCAGCUAAACCGCGAGGUCAUGCAAAUCCCAUAAAGUUGUUCUCAGUUCGGAUUGUAGUCUGCAACUCGACUACAUGAAGCUGGAAUCGCUAGUAAUCGUAGAUCAGCAUGCUACGGUGAAUACGUUCCCGGGUCUUGUACACACCGCCCGUCACACCACGAGAGUUUGUAACACCCGAAGCCGGUGGAGUAACCAUUUAUGGAGCUAGCCGUCGAAGGUGGGACAAAUGAUUGGGGUGAAGUCGUAACAAGGUAGCCGUAUCGGAAGGUGCGGCUGGAUCACCUC
RNAcentral lists this ribosomal RNA (487 nucleotides) under uncultured bacterium. RNAcentral describes it as "bacterial SSU rRNA". It matches the Rfam family "Bacterial small subunit ribosomal RNA", at positions 1043 to 1529 of the family's 1533-position model. The record is from RNAcentral.